This 491-nucleotide ribosomal RNA is filed under the name uncultured bacterium. Its description in RNAcentral is "partial 16S ribosomal RNA". It matches the Rfam family "Bacterial small subunit ribosomal RNA", at positions 30 to 507 of the family's 1533-position model. The record is from RNAcentral.
AGUGAACGCUGGCGGUAUGCCUAACACAUGCAAGUCGAACGGCAGCACAGUAAGAGCUCGCUCUUACGGGUGGCGAGUGGCGGACGGGUGAGGAAUACAUCGGAAUCUACUCUUUCGUGGGGGAUAACGAAGGGAACCUUCCGCUAAUACCGCAUACGACCUACGGGUGAAAGCAGAGGAUCUGCGGACCUUGCGCGAUUGAAUGAGCCGAUGUCGGAUUAGCUAGUUGGCGGGGUAAAGGCCCACCAAGGCGACGAGCCGUAGCUGGACUGAGCGGAUGAUCGGCCGCAGGGCAGUGAGGACACGGAGCAGGACCCGACGGGAGACACGGGCGGGAAUUCUACGGCAGGGGGCGGAAGCGUAUUCUCGCCAAUCGGCGCAGGUGAGGCAGGCCUACGGGUUGUGAAGGCUUUCGGUGGGAAAGAAGAGCAGCGGUUUAAUACCCCGAUGUUCUGACGGUACCCACCGAAUAAGCCCCGGCUAACUCCGUG